UCUACGGGGGGCAGCAGUGAGGAAUAUUGGUCAAUGGGCGCGAGCCUGAACCAGCCAAGUAGCGUGAAGGAUGACUGCCCUACGGGUUGUAAACUUCUUUUAUAAAGGAAUAAAGUGAGGCACGUGUGCCUUUUUGUAUGUACUUUAUGAAUAAGGAUCGGCUAACUCGGUGCCAGCAGCCGCGGUAAUACGGAGGAUCCGAGCGUUAUCCGGAUUUGUUGGGUUUAAAGGGAGCGUAGAUGGGUUGUUAAGUCAGUUGUGAAAGUUUGCGGCUCAACCGUAAAAUUGCAAUUGAUACUGGCAGACUUGAGUGCAGUUGAGGUAGGCGGAAUUCGUGGUGUAGCGGUGAAAUGCUUAGAUAUCACGAAGAACUCCGAUUGCGAAGGCAGCUUACUAAACUGCCACUGACAUUGAGGCUCGAAAGUGUGGGUAUCAAACAGGAUUAGAUACCCCAGUAGUC
Molecule: ribosomal RNA, 460 nt
Filed under: uncultured bacterium
Lineage: Bacteria
Description: partial 16S ribosomal RNA
Rfam family: Bacterial small subunit ribosomal RNA
Source: RNAcentral